UACGGAGGGUACGAGCGUUGUCCGGAAUCACUGGGCGUAAAGGGCGCGUAGGCGGCGCGAGCAGUCGGCGGUGAAAGCCCGGAGCUCAACUCCGGGUCGGCCGUCGAUACUCUCGUGCUUGAGCACUGUAGAGGCAGGUGGAAUUCCGGGUGUAGCGGUGGAAUGCGUAGAGAUCCGGAAGAACACCGGUGGCGAAGGCGGCCUGCUGGGCAGUAGCUGACGCUGAUGCGCGACAGCGUGGGGAGCAAACAGG
Molecule: ribosomal RNA, 253 nt
Filed under: uncultured bacterium
Lineage: Bacteria
Description: partial 16S ribosomal RNA
Rfam family: Bacterial small subunit ribosomal RNA
Source: RNAcentral